GUCUGUUGGGUGCUUCUUUCAGCUGCUGGAUUGAAGGAAAGUUCUGGUCUGCCUGGGCACACGGGAUGCUGGAGGUCCCUGCAGUGCCAAGGCCACACGCCCAGGUUCUUAAGCACCAGCUUAGAGAUUGAAGCGCCCUGCUGUCCCUCCAGGACUUCUGAACUUCACCAGCAUGACACACUAUUUAUCUCUGCUCCCUUCAAUUAGGAGCAGGAAGCAGAGAAUUGAGCACUGGGCUCAUUUUUAGCUGUGCCAAACUGAUGACCCAGCUUCUUGCCUAUAAAUCAAUGUAGAUGUGCUCAUUUAUGCUCUGUCAGAAAUUGGUUCAUUAGCUAGAAUUAAACAGAGGCCCAAACCAUGCCAUUUAAACUUGAACAGUGCUCUUGAACACCCUGUUCUGCCCUGGAUCUGGGAUUUGCUUGGUGCCUUCCUAUAUUUAGCAUACAGUAAUGUAAUUGAAGCAAUAAAAUUAGACCCACAAAUAGACUGGUUUCUCAGUACUUAAUCAAGGACCUUUUCCUAGAACUGCAGAGGGCUGAAAUUAAAAGAAAGGAAUGUGUGGUAAUCAGCCCCAUGGAGGCAGGAGGAAACCACCAUGAGUUUAAACUCCAAACACACACUCUGGCCAGCUGAAUGUACCCUUGUUUAAAUUAAAUGUGGCUUUACAGUGACCCAGGCCAGGGUCACACUGCACGAACCACUUGAGAAUGCACAGCCCACGUACAGGGAAUUAGUGAGCAGAUACAAAUCACGGUCUGUGAGUCACUGAACAAUAAGAAUGUCCUUGGAGCCCCCAUCUAUAAUGGAUGAAGGAAACAAUAGCUCCAAGAUACCUCUGCAAUGACAGGUACCUCUGCAGCAAUGCUAAUCUGUCAGUCCUGUCAGUUUGUCAACAGCAACAGGUAAAGAAGUGACUGAAAGACAAACCCAGUGUGCAAAGUGCAAAAUGCAUAAAGCAGGCAGCAGUCACAUUGCAGCUGGAAAAAUGGCAGGAGCCUGCAGCACAGCACUCAUUUAGAUUCACUAAUAACAGGUCUUAGAAGAUAAACUGGAAGACUUCAUUUUAUGGCUUUUUCUUCUGAAUAACUUAAUUUUUACUGGGGGAGUGCUAAAUAGGAGAAUUAAAUUUAAAAAGUUAUUUUCUAUUA
This is a long non-coding RNA of Parus major (Great Tit), 1148 nucleotides long. RefSeq lists it as uncharacterized. The record is from RefSeq and is a predicted model, not a curated record. NCBI's taxonomy places the organism in Eukaryota, Metazoa, Chordata, Aves, Passeriformes, Paridae. The transcript has 2 exons.